Molecule: ribosomal RNA, 253 nt
Filed under: uncultured bacterium
Lineage: Bacteria
Description: partial 16S ribosomal RNA
Rfam family: Bacterial small subunit ribosomal RNA
Source: RNAcentral
UACGUAGGGUGCAAGCGUUGUCCGGAAUUAUUGGGCGUAAAGAGCUCGUAGGCGGUCUGUCGCGUCGGCUGUGAAAACCUGGGGCUCAACUCCGGGCCUGCAGCCGAUACGGGCAGACUAGAAUUCGGUAGGGGAGACUGGAAUUCCUGGUGUAGCGGUGAAAUGCGCAGAUAUCAGGAGGAACACCGGUGGCGAAAGCGGGUCUCUGGGCCGAUAUUGACGCUGAGGAGCGAAAGCGUGGGGAGCGAACAGG